GCUGGGUGUGGUAGUGUAUGCCUACAGUCCCAGCUACUGGGGAGGCUGAGACAGGAAGAUCACUUGAGUCCAGGGGUUGUGGGCUGUAGUGCGCUAUGCUAAUCAAGUGUCCGCACUAAAUUUGGCAUCAAUAUGGUGACCUCCCCGGAGUAGGGGACCACCAGUUUACGUAAGAAGGGGUGAACCGGCUCAGGUCAGAAACUGAGCAGUUCAAAGGCCUGGGCCUUCAGCCUGGGCAACAUACUAAGACCUCGUCUAUUAAAAUAGUAAUAAUGGCUCGGCGCCUAUAGCUCAACCGGCU
This 301-nucleotide non-coding RNA is filed under the name Otolemur garnettii (small-eared galago). The record is from RNAcentral. Lineage: Eukaryota; Metazoa; Chordata; Mammalia; Primates; Galagidae.